RNAcentral lists this ribosomal RNA (207 nucleotides) under uncultured bacterium. RNAcentral's name for it is "partial 16S ribosomal RNA". It matches the Rfam family "Bacterial small subunit ribosomal RNA", at positions 568 to 774 of the family's 1533-position model. The record is from RNAcentral.
UGCGUAGGCGGCGCGGUAAGUCGGGUGUGAAAUCUCGGAGCUUAACUCCGAAACUGCAUUCGAUACUGCCGUGCUUGAGGACCGGAGAGGAGACUGGAAUUUACGGUGUAGCGGUGAAAUGCGUAGAUAUCGUAAGGAAGACCAGUGGCGAAGGCGGGUCUCUGGACAGUUCCUGACGCUGAGGCACGAAGGCCAGGGGAGCAAACG